UAUUUUCCUUGUGUGCCAGCAGCCGCGGUAAUACGGAAGGUCCGGGCGUUAUCCGGAUUUAUUGGGUUUAAAGGGAGCGUAGGCCGGAGAUUAAGCGUGUUGUGAAAUGUAGAUGCUCAACAUCUGCACUGCAGCGCGAACUGGUUUCCUUGAGUACGCACAAAGUGGGCGGAAUUCGUGGUGUAGCGGUGAAAUGCUUAGAUAUCACGAAGAACUCCGAUUGCGAAGGCAGCUCACUGGAGCGCAACUGACGCUGAAGCUCGAAAGUGCGGGUAUCGAACAGG
RNAcentral lists this ribosomal RNA (284 nucleotides) under Segatella copri DSM 18205. Its description in RNAcentral is "Prevotella copri DSM 18205 partial 16S ribosomal RNA". It matches the Rfam family "Bacterial small subunit ribosomal RNA", at positions 493 to 776 of the family's 1533-position model. Lineage: Bacteria; Pseudomonadati; Bacteroidota; Bacteroidia; Bacteroidales; Prevotellaceae. The record is from RNAcentral.